GAUGAACGCUAGCUACAGUCUUAACACAUGCAAGUCGAGGGGCAUCAGGAAGAAAGCUUGCUUUCUUUGCCGGCGACCGGCGCACGGGUGAGUAACACGUAUCCAACCUGCCCUUUACUCGGGGAUAGCCUUUCGAAAGAAAGAUUAAUACCCGAUGGCAUAAUGAUUCCGCAUGGUUUCAUUAUUAAAGGAUUCCGGUAAAGGAUGGGGAUGCGUUCCAUUAGGUUGUUGGUGAGGUAACGGCUCACCAAGCCUUCGAUGGAUAGGGGUUCUGAGAGGAAGGUCCCCCACAUUGGAACUGAGACACGGUCCAAACUCCUACGGGAGGCAGCAGUGAGGAAUAUUGGUCAAUGGGCGGUAGCCUGAACCAGCCAAGUAGCGUGAAGGAUGAAGGCUCUAUGGGUCGUAAACUUCUUUUAUAUAAGAAUAAAGUGCAGUAUGUAUACUGUUUUGUAUGUAUUAUAUGAAUAAGGAUCGGCUAACUCCGUGCCAGCAGCCGCGGUAAUACGGAGGAUCCGAGCGUUAUCCGGAUUUAUUGGGUUUAAAGGGAGCGUAGGUGGACUGGUAAGUCAGUUGUGAAAGUUUGCGGCUCAACCGUAAAAUUGCAGUUGAUACUGUCAGUCUUGAGUACAGUAGAGGUGGGCGGAAUUCGUGGUGUAGCGGUGAAAUGCUUAGAUAUCACGAAGAACUCCGAUUGCGAAGGCAGCUCACUGGACUGCAACUGACACUGAUGCUCGAAAGUGUGGGUAUCAAACAGG
This 758-nucleotide ribosomal RNA is filed under the name uncultured bacterium. RNAcentral's name for it is "bacterial SSU rRNA". It matches the Rfam family "Bacterial small subunit ribosomal RNA", at positions 28 to 776 of the family's 1533-position model. The record is from RNAcentral.